UACAGAGGUCCCGAGCGUUGUUCGGAUUUACUGGGCGUAAAGGGCGCGCAGGCGGCUCUGAAAGUCAGAUGUGAAAGCCCCGGGCUUAACCUGGGAAUUGCAUUUGAUACUCUGGAGCUUGGGUACGGGAGAGGAGAGUGGAAUUCCCAGUGUAGAGGUGAAAUUCGUAGAUAUUGGGAAGAACACCGGUGGCGAAGGCGGCUCUCUGGACCGUAACUGACGCUGAGGCGCGAAAGCGUGGGGAGCAAACAGG
Molecule: ribosomal RNA, 253 nt
Filed under: uncultured bacterium
Lineage: Bacteria
Description: partial 16S ribosomal RNA
Rfam family: Bacterial small subunit ribosomal RNA
Source: RNAcentral